GUCCCAGUAGCGCAAUGAUUAGCGCGUUGGACUUCUAAUGCAAAAGUCGUGGGUUCAAAUCCACCUGAGAUG
Non-coding RNA from Trichonephila clavata, 72 nucleotides. Lineage: Eukaryota; Metazoa; Arthropoda; Arachnida; Araneae; Nephilidae. The record is from the annotation of a GenBank genome assembly.